AGAGUCCAAUGCUCAGUCAAAGUCUUCUCUAGUUUGAGGUGGAGUUUCUCUGUCUUUAUACAGCUGUUAUUCAAAAGUCUUAUUACAACUAGUCUGCUUUGGAUGUUGAAUCCCAUUUGCUGCAGUCUGACAAGGGGUGAAGGUUGAAGAUAUUCACUGAUUUUAGGGGUUUGGGGGCGCAGGCGGUGCUUGGUGUACUAAUGCAGUUCCCUGGUUUCAAUCUCUGGCUUUGACUUGCUCCUUUAACUCGGUUUCUCUACUCUGCAGUUCCUUUAGAAGCUUAUCUGUUUAAAUCAGUUCUUUUGAACAGAAAGCACUGAUCUAAUAUGCUGAUCAGGGUCAACCAGUCUGAUUAUCUUUUAAGUGACCAUAUUUGGCAUUUCCUGUCUUUGACUGCAGUUCUUUUGAACAGGAAAGACUUGUAAACUGCUAGUAUGAUGAAUUUACUGAACGCCAUGAAGUCAGUAGUGGGAUUAUUAAUUUUUCUUCUCAGUCAUGAUGCCUCGACGGCAGCUCCAAUAAACAUUGCUUUAGCAUCAACAGAGAAUGCAAGUCCUCAAACAGGCAUUUACCUUGACACUGGCAUCAUAGCUGGCAUUGUCAUUGUCACUGUGAUUGUCUUUGCCUUGAUAGGAAUGGCUGAUCAGGAGCAGGCUGAUGAAUGUGUCAAUUUAAAUAAAGGUACAACUACAAGUCAGGACACAUUCUGUGCAGAAUGUUCAAACGGCUGCUGGAAAUGUUGUAGAGGUUUUGUAUCCUGUUGUUGUACUGAAUCCCUAUUCAUAGGUUGUGACAUAUGCUGCAUGUCUCUAUUUUAAAUGGAAAAAUUCAUCAACAAUAAUUAUUUCACUGCUCCUUUGGAUACUGUAUGCACUACAGUCAUUGUCAGUUGAUUGCCUGGGCUCAUCUUUCAUUUCAUAUAAGACUAAAUGUUUAUAAUAAUUUUAUAAUAGGUUUAUAAGUUCAUAAGUUUACAAUAACAAUACACGUUAGGCACCUUUCUAAACACUCAAGGUCAACUUAGAAAAAAUAAGUAAUCGAAAAAACAAGAAGAAUAUUUUUAGAGUGGCCUAGCCUUAAAUUACACCAGAUUAAGACGCUUUGAUAUGACCUUAAACAUGCUGUUCAUGCUCAAAAACCUUCCAUUGUGGCUACAUUCAAAUAAUUCAGCAAAAAAAAAAAAGAACAAAGGGGCAAAGCUCGUUGGUUUAAUUUGUUACACAGGAAGGUUUGGUUAGUUUUUUUAGUUGUUGUUUUUUUUUUAAUCAAUAAAUUAAAUUAGAACUUAAGAAAACUGUAUUCUACAUAUUCAUGUUGUCUUUGUCUAUUAUUACAAUUUUAUUGAUGAUCUGAAACAUUUGAAUGUGUAAACUGUGCAAAACCUAAUAAAUCAGGAAGGGGCUGAUCCUUUUUCACAGCACUGUAUCUGCUGUAUGUUUGUUCUUUCCCCUGUUUUCCUUUGAAAAUACUCUCUCAUUUGUUCAUACAUUUACAAUAUGCAGGUAUUUUGAGAUACCUGCAUUUAACAAGUUCACUCAAGUUACCUGGAUACAUACAGAGAGAACAUGAGCACAAACAGAAGUACAGAGUCAAUGAUGGUGACACAAUGAUAACACACUCAAGCACCAACAAACAAGAACUGAAACCAGGGUUAUAAAACA
Oreochromis niloticus (Nile tilapia) is the source of this 1661-nucleotide long non-coding RNA. The record is from Ensembl. Lineage: Eukaryota; Metazoa; Chordata; Actinopteri; Cichliformes; Cichlidae.